This 439-nucleotide ribosomal RNA is filed under the name uncultured bacterium. RNAcentral's name for it is "partial 16S ribosomal RNA". It matches the Rfam family "Bacterial small subunit ribosomal RNA", at positions 339 to 795 of the family's 1533-position model. The record is from RNAcentral.
CUAUGGGCUGCAGCAGUAGGGAAUCUUAGACAAUGGGGGAAACCCUGAUCUAGCCAUGCCGCGUGAGUGAUGAAGGCCUUAGGGUUGUAAAGCUCUUUCGCUGGGGAAGAUAAUGACGGUACCCAGUAAAGAAACCCCGGCUAACUCCGUGCCAGCAGCCGCGGUAAUACGGAGGGGGUUAGCGUUGUUCGGAAUUACUGGGCGUAAAGCGCGCGUAGGCGGGCUAUUAAGUCAGGGGUGAAAUCCCGGGGCUCAACCCCGGAACUGCCUUUGAUACUGGUAGUCUUGAGUUCGAGAGAGGUGAGUGGAAUUCCGAGUGUAGAGGUGAAAUUCGUAGAUAUUCGGAGGAACAUCAGUGGCGAAGGCGACUCACUGGCUCGAUACUGACGCUGAGGUGCGAAAGUGUGGGGAGCAAACAGGAUUAGAUACCCGGGUAGUC